GAUGAACGCUGGCGGCGUGCCUAAUACAUGCAAGUCGAGCGAACAGACGAGGAGCUUGCUCCUCUGACGUUAGCGGCGGACGGGUGAGUAACACGUGGAUAACCUACCUAUAAGACUGGGAUAACUUCGGGAAACCGGAGCUAAUACCGGAUAAUAUAUUGAACCGCAUGGUUCAAUAGUGAAAGACGGUUUUGCUGUCACUUAUAGAUGUAUCCGCGCCGCAUUAGCUAGUUGGUAAGGUAACGGCUUACCAAGGCGACGAUGCGUAGCCGACCUGCGAGGGUGAUCGGCCACACUGGAACUGAGACACGGUCCAGACUCCUACGGGAGGCAGCAGUAGGGAAUCUUCCGCAAUGGGCGAAAGCCUGACGGAGCAACGCCGCGUGAGUGAUGAAGGUCUUCGGAUCGUAAAACUCUGUUAUUAGGGAAGAACAAAUGUGUAAGUAACUAUGCACGUCUUGACGGUACCUAAUCAGAAAGCCACGGCUAACUACGUG
This 497-nucleotide ribosomal RNA is filed under the name uncultured bacterium. RNAcentral describes it as "partial 16S ribosomal RNA". It matches the Rfam family "Bacterial small subunit ribosomal RNA", at positions 28 to 507 of the family's 1533-position model. The record is from RNAcentral.